CUAGUGGCAUUGGUGGUGCGCACUGCGCAGAGAAACACGCUCUUGUAUAAUUAUGAGUCCCACACGGGAAAGAGCAACCAGAUCUCCGCAUGCCAAACAACUAUUAAAGGAGAAGCACAAUGCCAUACCAAAUCACGCAGCCGCGCGGUGAGCACAGAGCGAACUAUUCUUUCGCCUUUUACUAAAGAAUACCGUGUGCGCGCCGCAGAUAGCGGCAUACGCCUAUUUUUGGAGGGGUUCUUCCUUGUGGAAGAGCUCCUACAUCUCAGUCCCAAUUUUUUUUGAAAUUUUUCUUCAUCUGUUUAUGUUUCAAAUAAAAAAAUUAAAUCUAGUAUGUAUUGUAAAGCUGUUAAUUAUUUUUGGAUGGGGUUCUCUUUUCGGGAGCAAAAUUCCCUUGGAAGUUUCAUCGUCCCGUGCCUUCGGGUUUUUGCGUCUGUGAACACGCGGCUUGAUGCCUGCUUCGGUUUCCUCUGGUCCGAUGGCUAACUAGACGAUGCGGUAUGCGGUUUUCCAAAUUGCAAACAGCAGGAAUAAUCAGCGCUUCUGGUACCAAAAACUCCGUUCGUGACACAAUCUUAGCUAUAGCAUAUAAAAUAUGAAAAAUGAUUUAUAAAAGCUUCAAAUAGACAAGUCCACAAAUCUUUGUAAAGGAGCGAAACCCAUCUUAAAAAAGUAGAAAAAACUAUUUUUCAUUAAUAGAAUCCUAUUUUUUUCAAAGAAUUUA
This is a long non-coding RNA of Carya illinoinensis, 724 nucleotides long. RefSeq lists it as uncharacterized. The transcript is spliced from 2 exons. NCBI's taxonomy places the organism in Eukaryota, Viridiplantae, Streptophyta, Magnoliopsida, Fagales, Juglandaceae. The record is from RefSeq and is a predicted model, not a curated record.